This 338-nucleotide unclassified non-coding RNA is filed under the name soil metagenome. Its description in RNAcentral is "partial contains 5.8S ribosomal RNA, internal transcribed spacer 2, and large subunit ribosomal RNA". The stretch from base 1 to 120 matches the Rfam family "5.8S ribosomal RNA", at positions 35 to 154 of the family's 154-position model. The record is from RNAcentral.
GAUGAAGAACGCAGCGAAAUGCGAUACGUAGUGUGAAUUGCAGAAUUCAGUGAAUCAUCGAAUCUUUGAACGCACAUUGCGCCCUUUGGUAUUCCAAAGGGCAUACCUGUUCGAGCGUCAUUUGUACCCUCAAGCUUUGCUUGGUGUUGGGCGUCUUGUCUCCAGUCCGCUGGAGACUCGCCUUAAAGUCAUUGGCAGCCGGCCUACUGGUUUCGGAGCGCAGCACAAGUCGCACUCUUUUCCAGCCAAGGUCAGUGUCCAACAAGCCUUUUUUCAACUUUUGACCUCGGAUCAGGUAGGGAUACCCGCUGAACUUAAGCAUAUCAAUAAGCGGAGGA